This 484-nucleotide ribosomal RNA is filed under the name uncultured bacterium. Its description in RNAcentral is "partial 16S ribosomal RNA". It matches the Rfam family "Bacterial small subunit ribosomal RNA", at positions 30 to 507 of the family's 1533-position model. The record is from RNAcentral.
AUUGAACGCUGGCGGCAUGCCUUACACAUGCAAGUCGAACGGCAGCGCGGACUUCGGUCUGGCGGCGAGUGGCGAACGGGUGAGUAAUACAUCGGAACGUACCCUGUUGUGGGGGAUAACUAGUCGAAAGAUUAGCUAAUACCGCAUACGACCUGAGGGUGAAAGUGGGGGACCGCAAGGCCUCACGCAGCAGGAGCGGCCGAUGUCUGAUUAGCUAGUUGGUGGGGUAAAGGCCCACCAAGGCGACGAUCAGUAGCUAGUCUGAGAGGACGAUCAGCCACAGUGGGACUGAGACACGGCCCAGACUCCUACGGGAGGCAGCAGUGGGGAAUUUUGGACAAUGGGGGCAACCCUGAUCUAGCAAUGCCGCGUGUGUGAAGAAGGCCUUCGGGUUGUAAAGCACUUUUGUCCGGAAAGAAAUCGCGCUGGUUAAUACCUGGCGUGGAUGACGGUACCGGAAGAAUAAGCACCGGCUAACUACGUG